Molecule: ribosomal RNA, 438 nt
Filed under: uncultured beta proteobacterium
Lineage: Bacteria; Pseudomonadati; Pseudomonadota; Betaproteobacteria
Description: bacterial SSU rRNA
Rfam family: Bacterial small subunit ribosomal RNA
Source: RNAcentral
UGGGGAAUUUUGGAUCAAUGGGGGCGAACCCGUACGAUCCCAGCCAUUCCGCGUGAGUGAAGAAGGCCUUCGGGUUGUAAAGCUCUUUUGUCCGGAACGAAACGGGUUACGUGAACAUCGUGACCUACUGACGGUACCGGAAGAAUAAGCACCGGCUAACUACGUGCCAGCAGCCGCGGUAAUACGUAGGGUGCGAGCGUUAAUCGGAAUUACUGGGCGUAAAGCGUGCGCAGGCGGUUUUGUAAGCCAGAUGUGAAAUCCCCGGCUUAAGCCUGGGAAUGGCAUUUGGGCAUGCUGCAAGGCUUGAGUGCGGCAGAGGAGACUGGAAUUCCUGGUGUAGCAGUGAAAUGCGUUAGAUAUCAGGAGGAAUACCGAUGGCGAAGGCAGGUCUCCGGGCUGACACUGGCGCUCAUGCACGAAAAGCGUGGGGAGCAAACA